Molecule: ribosomal RNA, 253 nt
Filed under: uncultured bacterium
Lineage: Bacteria
Description: partial 16S ribosomal RNA
Rfam family: Bacterial small subunit ribosomal RNA
Source: RNAcentral
UACAGAGGGGGCAAGCGUUGUUCGGAAUUACUGGGCGUAAAGGGCGCGUAGGCGGCCUGCUAAGUCGAACGUGAAAUCCCUGGGCUCAACCCAGGAACUGCGUCCGAUACUGGUUGGCUUGAAUUCGGGAGAGGGAUGUGGAAUUCCAGGUGUAGCGGUGAAAUGCGUAGAUAUCUGGAGGAACACCGGUGGCGAAGGCGGCAUCCUGGACCGAUAUUGACGCUGAGGAGCGAAAGCCAGGGGAGCAAACGGG